Molecule: long non-coding RNA, 1176 nt
Filed under: Marmota monax (woodchuck)
Lineage: Eukaryota; Metazoa; Chordata; Mammalia; Rodentia; Sciuridae
Source: RNAcentral
CACAUUAAAGAACGUGCAACGGAGAACUAUUCUUUAUAAAAACAACAAUAACAACAAACAAAACACCUGGAACCCUCCGUGACCCACAGCAGAUCCCUAUUGCACAACCCUGGAUAGCGAGCCAUGUGCCAUCCCCGAAAGAGGCUCUAGGUAUAAGCAAUAAAGGAAAAGGCAGAAACACUGGAAGGCUCAGUCUUAUUUGUACCAAAGUAUGUAUGCAUCCAAGCUACGCAGGAGGCUAAGGCAGGCGAAUCACAAGUUCAUGGUCACCCUGUAGGGGGAGAGGGCUGUGGGUAGAGCACUUGCCUAGCUGGCACAAGGCCCUAGGUUUAAUCCCCAGCCCAGAAAGAAAAAAAAAAAAAAAACAAAAAAAACCAGAUGGAAAUCCGUAAGUGCAUCAAGAAUUCCUACAAGGAUAUAGAAGAGACUAGCAUUCUGAAGUUUCUAGAGUGUUUACUUCUCCCCCUCCCAAUACUGGGUUUGAACCCAGGGACUUGGACAUGCUAGGCGAGUACUCUACCACUGGGCUACAUCCCCAGCCCAGUUUGUAUAUAUUUAGUACAUUCAAUUAACAUGAUUGCCCAUCUGCACAACAGGAAGACCAGUGGUUUGGGUCGACAGCAGCUCCAAAGCAACUCAAACGGAAAAAACACACAACAGUAAAACGAAGGAACGCCCAACUCAACCUGCAUAAAGAAAGAAAAAGCUGGACACGGAGCCACACCAAACCCCCCCACACAAAGCAUCCCAGGUGCCACAACACCACUAAGAACAUGCAGCACACUGAUGCUCACCUACCACACACAGCUGACCCUGAGAUUUACACACAGAACCCAGGCAACUCAAGGUCAAAAAGGAACUGACAGCCCUGCAGUGGGCUGCCUAGGAGGGUGUGGGGGAAGAGGCAGGGCCCUGGUCUCAUGGAGGCACAGCAAAGAGAGCCCUGGGCAAGGACCCAUUGUCCCUCUGUAGGGAGCAGUCAGCAGGUGGCAGCAGCUGCUCAGCAGGCAGGGGAGCUGCAGGAAAAAAACAUAGGACAGAACAAGCCUACCAGCAAACUACUCAAGCUGGCAAACAGCACACUACACCAAGCUUCUGCCACUUUGAAGUACUUUUGUCCAAUAUUCAGACCUUUUUUUUUUCCCCUAUUUUGUUUCCAUUUUAGCCACAAUUUAC